GACGAACGCUGGCGGCGUGCCUAAUACAUGCAAGUUGAGCGCUGAAGGUUGGUACUUGUACCAACUGGAUGAGCAGCGAACGGGUGAGUAACGCGUGGGGAAUCUGCCUUUGAGCGGGGGACAACAUUUGGAAACGAAUGCUAAUACCGCAUAAAAACUUUAAACACAAGUUUUAAGUUUGAAAGAUGCAAUUGCAUCACUCAAAGAUGAUCCCGCGUUGUAUUAGCUAGUUGGUGAGGUAAAGGCUCACCAAGGCGAUGAUACAUAGCCGACCUGAGAGGGUGAUCGGCCACCUUGGGACUGGGACACGGCCCAAACGCCUACGGGAGGCAGCCGUAGGGAAACUUCGGCAAUGGGCGAAAGUCUGACCGGGCCACGCCGCGUGAGUGGAGAAGGUUUUCGGGUCGUAAAACUCUGUUGGUAGGGAAGAACGUUGGUGAGAGUGGAAAGCUCAUCAAGUGACGGUAACUACCCAGAAAGGGACGGCUAACUACGUG
This 497-nucleotide ribosomal RNA is filed under the name uncultured bacterium. RNAcentral describes it as "partial 16S ribosomal RNA". It matches the Rfam family "Bacterial small subunit ribosomal RNA", at positions 28 to 507 of the family's 1533-position model. The record is from RNAcentral.